RNAcentral lists this ribosomal RNA (460 nucleotides) under uncultured bacterium. Its description in RNAcentral is "partial 16S ribosomal RNA". It matches the Rfam family "Bacterial small subunit ribosomal RNA", at positions 338 to 795 of the family's 1533-position model. The record is from RNAcentral.
CCUACGGGUGGCAGCAGUGAGGAAUAUUGGUCAAUGGGCGCAAGCCUGAACCAGCCAAGUCGCGUGAGGGAUGACGGUCCUCUGGAUUGUAAACCUCUUUUGUCGGGGAGCAAGGCCCGCCACGUGUGGCGGGAAGGAGAGUACCCGAAGAAAAAGCAUCGGCUAACUCCGUGCCAGCAGCCGCGGUAAUACGGGGGAGGCGAGCGUUAUCCGGAUUUGUUGGGUUUAAAGGGUGCGUAGGCGGAAGGUUAAGUCUGCGGGAAAAUGUCGGUGUUCAACACCGGCCUGCCGUUGAAACUGGUCUGCUUGAGUGAGCGAGAGGUAUGCGGAAUGCGUGGUGUAGCGGUGAAAUGCAUAGAUAUCACGAAGAACUCCGAUUGCGAAGGCAGCAUACCGGCGCUCAACUGACGCUGAGGCACGAAAGCGUGGGGAUCGAACAGGAUUAGAUACCCUUGUAGUC